Molecule: unclassified non-coding RNA, 485 nt
Filed under: Hevea brasiliensis (rubber tree)
Lineage: Eukaryota; Viridiplantae; Streptophyta; Magnoliopsida; Malpighiales; Euphorbiaceae
Source: RNAcentral
GUUUAUUUCUUAGUGGGUCUUUGCGCUUCCUGGCAAGCUCUUGCUUACUUUGUUUUGGUCAUAUGGGUCAUCGUCUUGAUGGCAAAUUCAUUUGUUAUGUUCUUGAGCUCUCUUGCUCCAAAUUAUAUAGCUGGAAGCUCGCUAGUGACGAUACUUCUAGGCGCUUUCUUUCUCUUCUCCGGCUAUUUCAUUUCACAAGAUAGCAUGCCCAAGUACUGGCUCUUCAUGCAUUUUUUGUCCAUGUACAAGUAUGCUCUUGAUGCUCUUCUCAUCAACAUCAAUGAGUAUUCUUGCCUUGUAAAUAAGUGUUUUCUGUGGUAUGAAGAGACAAAUACGUGUAUGGUGACCGGAGGUGAUGUGUUGCAGAAGAGAGGGCUCCAUGAGAGGCAUAGGUGGAGUAACAUCUACAUUUUGAUUGGAUUCUUCGUCUUCUACCGUGUGCUUUGUUUGCUAGUCUUGAUCAGAAGGGUUUCAAGAUCCAAAAU